CGGGAGGCAGCAGUGGGGAAUUUUGGACAAUGGGCGCAAGCCUGAUCCAGCAAUGCCGCGUGCAGGAUGAAGGCCUUCGGGUUGUAAACUGCUUUUGUACGGAACGAAACGGUCUGCUUUAAUACAGUAGGCUAAUGACGGUACCGUAAGAAUAAGCACCGGCUAACUACGUGCCAGCAGCCGCGGUAAUACGUAGGGUGCGAGCGUUAAUCGGAAUUACUGGGCGUAAAGCGUGCGCAGGCGGUUAUGUAAGACAGAUGUGAAAUCCCCGGGCUCAACCUGGGACCUGCAUUUGUGACUGCAUAGCUAGAGUACGGUAGAGGGGGAUGGAAUUCCGCGUGUAGCAGUGAAAUGCGUAGAUAUGCGGAGGAACACCGAUGGCGAAGGCAAUCCCCUGGACCUGUACUGACGCUCAUGCACGAAAGCGUGGGGAGCAAACAGGAUUAGAUACCCGAGU
RNAcentral lists this ribosomal RNA (457 nucleotides) under uncultured Comamonadaceae bacterium. RNAcentral's name for it is "bacterial SSU rRNA". It matches the Rfam family "Bacterial small subunit ribosomal RNA", at positions 342 to 791 of the family's 1533-position model. Lineage: Bacteria; Pseudomonadati; Pseudomonadota; Betaproteobacteria; Burkholderiales; Comamonadaceae. The record is from RNAcentral.